This 2924-nucleotide ribosomal RNA is filed under the name Escherichia coli. Its description in RNAcentral is "partial 23S ribosomal RNA". It matches the Rfam family "Bacterial large subunit ribosomal RNA". Lineage: Bacteria; Pseudomonadati; Pseudomonadota; Gammaproteobacteria; Enterobacterales; Enterobacteriaceae. The record is from RNAcentral.
GGGUUGUGAGGUUAAGCGACUAAGCGUACACGGUGGAUGCCCUGGCAGUCAGAGGCGAUGAAGGACGUGCUAAUCUGCGAUAAGCGUCGGUAAGGUGAUAUGAACCGUUAUAACCGGCGAUUUCCGAAUGGGGAAACCCAGUGUGUUUCGACACACUAUCAUUAACUGAAUCCAUAGGUUAAUGAGGCGAACCGGGGGAACUGAAACAUCUAAGUACCCCGAGGAAAAGAAAUCAACCGAGAUUCCCCCAGUAGCGGCGAGCGAACGGGGAGCAGCCCAGAGCCUGAAUCAGUGUGUGUGUUAGUGGAAGCGUCUGGAAAGGCGCGCGAUACAGGGUGACAGCCCCGUACACAAAAAUGCACAUGCUGUGAGCUCGAUGAGUAGGGCGGGACACGUGGUAUCCUGUCUGAAUAUGGGGGGACCAUCCUCCAAGGCUAAAUACUCCUGACUGACCGAUAGUGAACCAGUACCGUGAGGGAAAGGCGAAAAGAACCCCGGCGAGGGGAGUGAAAAAGAACCUGAAACCGUGUACGUACAAGCAGUGGGAGCACGCUUCGGCGUGUGACUGCGUACCUUUUGUAUAAUGGGUCAGCGACUUAUAUUCUGUAGCAAGGUUAACCGAAUAGGGGAGCCGAAGGGAAACCGAGUCUUAACUGGGCGUUAAGUUGCAGGGUAUAGACCCGAAACCCGGUGAUCUAGCCAUGGGCAGGUUGAAGGUUGGGUAACACUAACUGGAGGACCGAACCGACUAAUGUUGAAAAAUUAGCGGAUGACUUGUGGCUGGGGGUGAAAGGCCAAUCAAACCGGGAGAUAGCUGGUUCUCCCCGAAAGCUAUUUAGGUAGCGCCUCGUGAACUCGUCUCCGGGGGUAGAGCACUGUUUCGGCAAGGGGGUCAUCCCGACUUACCAACCCGAUGCAAACUGCGAAUACCGGAGAAUGUUAUCACGGGAGACACACGGCGGGUGCUAACGUCCGUCGUGAAGAGGGAAACAACCCAGACCGCCAGCUAAGGUCCCAAAGUCAUGGUUAAGUGGGAAACGAUGUGGGAAGGCCCAGACAGCCAGGAUGUUGGCUUAGAAGCAGCCAUCAUUUAAAGAAAGCGUAAUAGCUCACUGGUCGAGUCGGCCUGCGCGGAAGAUGUAACGGGGCUAAACCAUGCACCGAAGCUGCGGCAGCGACACUGUGUGUUGUUGGGUAGGGGAGCGUUCUGUAAGCCUGUGAAGGUGUACUGUGAGGUAUGCUGGAGGUAUCAGAAGUGCGAAUGCUGACAUAAGUAACGAUAAAGCGGGUGAAAAGCCCGCUCGCCGGAAGACCAAGGGUUCCUGUCCAACGUUAAUCGGGGCAGGGUGAGUCGACCCCUAAGGCGAGGCCGAAAGGCGUAGUCGAUGGGAAACAGGUUAAUAUUCCUGUACUUGGUGUUACUGCGAAGGGGGGACGGAGAAGGCUAUGUUGGCCGGGCGACGGUUGUCCCGGUUUAAGCGUGUAGGCUGGUUUUCCAGGCAAAUCCGGAAAAUCAAGGCUGAGGCGUGAUGACGAGGCACUACGGUGCUGAAGCAACAAAUGCCCUGCUUCCAGGAAAAGCCUCUAAGCAUCAGGUAACAUCAAAUCGUACCCCAAACCGACACAGGUGGUCAGGUAGAGAAUACCAAGGCGCUUGAGAGAACUCGGGUGAAGGAACUAGGCAAAAUGGUGCCGUAACUUCGGGAGAAGGCACGCUGAUAUGUAGGUGAAGCGACUUGCUCGUGGAGCUGAAAUCAGUCGAAGAUACCAGCUGGCUGCAACUGUUUAUUAAAAACACAGCACUGUGCAAACACGAAAGUGGACGUAUACGGUGUGACGCCUGCCCGGUGCCGGAAGGUUAAUUGAUGGGGUUAGCGCAAGCGAAGCUCUUGAUCGAAGCCCCGGUAAACGGCGGCCGUAACUAUAACGGUCCUAAGGUAGCGAAAUUCCUUGUCGGGUAAGUUCCGACCUGCACGAAUGGCGUAAUGAUGGCCAGGCUGUCUCCACCCGAGACUCAGUGAAAUUGAACUCGCUGUGAAGAUGCAGUGUACCCGCGGCAAGACGGAAAGACCCCGUGAACCUUUACUAUAGCUUGACACUGAACAUUGAGCCUUGAUGUGUAGGAUAGGUGGGAGGCUUAGAAGUGUGGACGCCAGUCUGCAUGGAGCCGACCUUGAAAUACCACCCUUUAAUGUUUGAUGUUCUAACGUUGACCCGUAAUCCGGGUUGCGGACAGUGUCUGGUGGGUAGUUUGACUGGGGCGGUCUCCUCCUAAAGAGUAACGGAGGAGCACGAAGGUUGGCUAAUCCUGGUCGGACAUCAGGAGGUUAGUGCAAUGGCAUAAGCCAGCUUGACUGCGAGCGUGACGGCGCGAGCAGGUGCGAAAGCAGGUCAUAGUGAUCCGGUGGUUCUGAAUGGAAGGGCCAUCGCUCAACGGAUAAAAGGUACUCCGGGGAUAACAGGCUGAUACCGCCCAAGAGUUCAUAUCGACGGCGGUGUUUGGCACCUCGAUGUCGGCUCAUCACAUCCUGGGGCUGAAGUAGGUCCCAAGGGUAUGGCUGUUCGCCAUUUAAAGUGGUACGCGAGCUGGGUUUAGAACGUCGUGAGACAGUUCGGUCCCUAUCUGCCGUGGGCGCUGGAGAACUGAGGGGGGCUGCUCCUAGUACGAGAGGACCGGAGUGGACGCAUCACUGGUGUUCGGGUUGUCAUGCCAAUGGCACUGCCCGGUAGCUAAAUGCGGAAGAGAUAAGUGCUGAAAGCAUCUAAGCACGAAACUUGCCCCGAGAUGAGUUCUCCCUGACUCCUUGAGAGUCCUGAAGGAACGUUGAAGACGACGACGUUGAUAGGCCGGGUGUGUAAGCGCAGCGAUGCGUUGAGCUAACCGGUACUAAUGAACCGUGAGGCUUAACCUUACAACGCCGAAG